Molecule: RNA transcript, 1912 nt
Organism: Tripterygium wilfordii
Lineage: Eukaryota; Viridiplantae; Streptophyta; Magnoliopsida; Celastrales; Celastraceae
Gene name: L-cysteine desulfhydrase
Exons: 3
Source: RefSeq, a predicted model, not a curated record
ACCCUCCUGGCCUCUCAUUUACAAACUUCACUACUGGGAUGCUCUCAAUCGGUCAUGCCAAACCCUAAUUCGGUCCUCUCUUACUCAGCCAUGGAACAUGACGAUCCUCGAAAUGGCGAUUCGACUCACAAUCUCGAUCAUGCUUCCAAGAAGCUCCGAAUGACCCGCUAUAUAUCGGAAUCCGAUAUCCGGGAAGAGUUCUCUCACCACCAGCCUGGUAUAGCUCGAAUCAACAACGGGAGCUUUGGGAGCUGCCCUGGGUCCGUGCUAUCUGCACAGCGGGAGUGGCAACUGCGGUUUCUACAGCAACCAGAUGAUUUCUACAGCAAUACGCUCCGGGACGGGAUUCUCCGUUCGCGGACUGUCAUCAAAGACCUCAUCAACGCCGACCACGUCGACGAGGUAUCUCUUGUUGACAACGCCACGACAGCUGCCGCUAUCGUGCUCCAACAGAUUGGCCGUGGUUUCGCCGAGGGCAGAUUUGCCAAAAACGACACCGUGGUAAUGCUCCACUGCGCCUUCCAAGCUGUGAAGAAAUCCAUUCAAGCGUAUGUCUCGCGUGCUGGCGGGUCAGUUGUGGAAGUUCAAUUACCAUUUCCGGUUGAUUCCGAUGAAGAAAUCAUUGCUGAGUUUAGGAAGGGGUUGCAGAGAGGCAAAGCUGAUGGUAGAAAAAUAAGGCUCGCGAUAAUCGAUCAUAUCACGUCAAUGCCGUGCGUUGUGAUGCCAGUUCGUGAGCUGGUGAGGAUUUGUAGAGAGGAGGAUGUGGAGCGGGUCUUUGUGGAUGCAGCCCAUGCCAUUGGCAGUGUUAAAGUUGACGUCAAAGACAUUGGUGCUGAUUUCUAUGUAAGUAAUUUCCACAAGUGGUGCUUUUGCCCCCCAGCAGUUGCUUUUUUAUAUUGCCGAGUGUCGGGUCCGCCAAAUGAUGUGCACCACCCUGUAGUUUCACAUGAAUAUGGAAAUGGCCUGCCCAUUGAAAGUGCUUGGAUUGGAACGAGGGAUUAUAGUUCGCAGCUUGUGGUGCCAUCAGCUUUGGAGUUUGUGAGUAGGUUUGAAGGUGGAUUAGAAGGGAUAAUGAAAAGGAACCAUGAGGAAGUUGUCAAAAUGGGAAAAAUGUUGGCGGAGUCAUGGGGAACCAUUCUUGGAUCACCACCUGAGAUGUGUGCAGCCAUGAUUAUGGUUGGUUUGCCCUCGAGGUUGUGUAUCAAAAGCAAUGAGGACGCCUCAAGGCUAAGGUCCCAUCUGCGUGCAAGUUAUGGAGUUGAGGUUCCUUUACAUUAUCAGACUCCAAAGGAUGGUGAAAAUGUAGCAAGGGAUAAGGAUGGGCUCAUAACAGGGUAUGCCCGGAUUUCUCAUCAGGUCUAUAACAGUAUUGAGGAUUAUUUCAAGUUUAGGGAUGCAAUUAAUCAGUUGAUCGAGGAUAAGAGAAUUUGCAAAAUACUUUCUGUAGAAUGAGGAGAAAGAAGUUGGUUUAAAUAAGUUUGGUAGCAGUGGUGGCAGAUUUGGUUUAUUUGGUUGAGAAGAAAGUUUUGCAGAACAUUGAAUCCUAUUCCUGUAACGCUUAGACAUCAGAGAAGCUUUUCAUGGAAUAGCAUGCGUGCUUCGCCAGUUUUCUAAUGGAUGUGGCUGCACACAGUAUGUGGAUGAAUUAGUAUGCAUGUUGCUUAGCUGAUCAGAGAUUGCAGUUAAUGCAACUGAAGAGAACCACAGAAUUGCUAGUAAGCUAGCUAGUUUUCACAGCCUUGUUGUAGCAUAACCAUAGUUGUGAGAAUAAAUUCAUGAAUGCCCGAACUCUCUUAGCAUUCAUCCUCCUUUUUAUGAGCUUCAUAUUCUUCACUCAGCCUUGUUGCUGAUCACUUCAAUAUGGGGUUUAAUCUAAAGAAAUGAGCCUGGUCUCUUGCUGCACUUCGCUUCA